AGUGAACGCUGGCGGUAGGCCUAACACAUGCAAGUCGAACGGCAGCACAGUAAGAGCUUGCUCUUACGGGUGGCGAGUGGCGGACGGGUGAGGAAUACAUCGGAAUCUACUUUUUCGUGGGGGUUAACGUAGGGAAACUUACGCUAAUACCGCAUACGACCUACGGGUGAAAGCAGGGGAUCUUCGGACCUUGCGCGAUUGAAUGAGCCGAUGUCGGAUUAGCUAGUUGGCGGGGUAAAGGCCCACCAAGGCGACGAUCCGUAGCUGGUCUGAGAGGAUGAUCAGCCACACUGGAACUGAGACACGGUCCAGACUCCUACGGGAGGCAGCAGUGGGGAAUAUUGGACAAAGGGCGCAAGCCUGAUCCAGCCAGACCGCGUGGGUGAAGAAGGCCUUCGGGUUGUAAAGACCUUUUGUUGGGAAAGAAAAGCAGCAGGUUAAUACCCAGCUGUUCUGACGGUAACCAAAGAAUAAGCACCGGCUAACUUCGUG
Molecule: ribosomal RNA, 492 nt
Filed under: uncultured bacterium
Lineage: Bacteria
Description: partial 16S ribosomal RNA
Rfam family: Bacterial small subunit ribosomal RNA
Source: RNAcentral